AAUUUAUGCUGCUGCAAUAUCAAAAAUAUUAUGAUCCAAUCAAGACUGUUGUACUUGCAUUAAUAGUUGCAAAUAUUAUAUUAAGUACAUCUCUUGUUGGCAGUCCGCAAUAAGAUAAUUUGUUGAAUCAUUAAUUAAUUUACUUUUUUCUCAGUUGAGGCAAAGAGCAAAAGAAGACAAAACAAGGCCUAAUUUUACACAUUUUUAUCAAAUAAUCGAUGUACACUAGCAUCUACAUGCCUAUCAAAGUAUUACUUUUAAUUAAUAUUCAAUUAUUAAUUAAUUUUAAUUUUAUUAUAAAAUUCUAACGGUAAGAACAAACUUGGAAUUCAACUUUUAAAAAAUUUGAUAUUAAAUACAUCGACUUUAAAAAAAAAAUCGAUUAUAAAAUGAGCAACAAAAAAUCAUAUUUGUAGCAAAUGUCAGAAAAAACAAUUAUAAAGCAACAAAAUUUGUUGUAGAUAUCUCAUUAUGUCAUCUAAAUAACCAAAAUUUAAAAUAAAAAUCUAUUUCCAUUUAAAAAUGGAUAUUACUACUAACAUAAAUCUUUAUCGAAAUUACAAGAUAAUGUAAUGGAUUUUGUACAAGCUAGCGAUCAGACUAUUAGCAACAAAUUUUAACAACAUAAACCACGGAUGAAUCCAUUGCAGCAAAAUCAAUGAUACAAACUUAUAUAUAGAAGCUGAUACUUAACAAAAACGAAAUAAACAUUAAAAUU
Molecule: long non-coding RNA, 718 nt
Organism: Monomorium pharaonis (pharaoh ant)
Lineage: Eukaryota; Metazoa; Arthropoda; Insecta; Hymenoptera; Formicidae
Exons: 3
Source: RefSeq, a predicted model, not a curated record